GACGAACGCUGGCGGUGUGCUUAACACAUGCAAGUCGAACGGAAAGGCCCUGCUUUUGUGGGGUGCUCGAGUGGCGAACGGGUGAGUAACACGUGAGUAACCUGCCCUUGACUUUGGGAUAACUUCAGGAAACUGGGGCUAAUACCGGAUAGGAGCUCCUGCUGCAUGGUGGGGGUUGGAAAGUUUCGGCGGUUGGGGAUGGACUCGCGGCUUAUCAGCUUGUUGGUGGGGUAGUGGCUUACCAAGGCUUUGACGGGUAGCCGGCCUGAGAGGGUGACCGGCCACAUUGGGACUGAGAUACGGCCCAGACUCCUACGGGAGGCAGCAGUGGGGAAUAUUGCACAAUGGGCGGAAGCCUGAUGCAGCAGCGCCGCGUGCGGGAUGACGGCCUUCGGGUUGUAAACCGCUUUCGCCUGUGACGAAGCGUGAGUGACGGUAAUGGGUAAAGAAGCACCGGCUAACUACGUG
RNAcentral lists this ribosomal RNA (468 nucleotides) under uncultured bacterium. Its description in RNAcentral is "partial 16S ribosomal RNA". It matches the Rfam family "Bacterial small subunit ribosomal RNA", at positions 28 to 507 of the family's 1533-position model. The record is from RNAcentral.